This 253-nucleotide ribosomal RNA is filed under the name uncultured bacterium. RNAcentral describes it as "partial 16S ribosomal RNA". It matches the Rfam family "Bacterial small subunit ribosomal RNA", at positions 524 to 776 of the family's 1533-position model. The record is from RNAcentral.
UACGUAGGUGGCGAGCGUUGUUCGGAUUCAUUGGGCGUAAAGGGUCCGCAGGGGGUAGAUUAAGUCUGAUGUGAAAUCCCUGAGCUUAACUCAGGAACUGCAUUGGAGACUGGUUUACUAGAGUAUCGGAGAGGAGAUUGGAAUUCCAGGUGUAGCGGUGGAAUGCGUAGAUAUCUGGAAGAACACCGAAAGCGAAGGCAGAUCUCUGGACGAUUACUGACCCUCAGGGACGAAAGCGUGGGGAGCAAACAGG